This is a long non-coding RNA of Alexandromys fortis (reed vole), 2436 nucleotides long. RefSeq lists it as uncharacterized. The record is from RefSeq and is a predicted model, not a curated record. The transcript is spliced from 6 exons. NCBI's taxonomy places the organism in Eukaryota, Metazoa, Chordata, Mammalia, Rodentia, Cricetidae.
GUGGCAGUUUAAGGUGCCAACUACGCCCUGGAGGGUGGGCAGGAAACUUGCUCCUUUUCAGACUAGAGAAGGGAAAAUGGGAAUGGAGAAAGAAUGAACAGGUCCCUCCCUGGAUCUCCAGCCCAAGCCUUCCCUGGGGAGAUCAAACCCUCUGUCUGUCCCUGUCCCCUCAAGCUCUUACCAGGCCACCCGCAGACAGGGAUUGUGCUGCACUCACGAUGGCUAUGGACAAUAUCUCUGGUCCUUAGCCCAUGCGUGCCCAGAGACACUUUCCAUCCUGGGCCAUGAACCCCAAGGCAAAGAUACCAGAUUUGCACGAAGGAGACUAGAAGGCAUCUUGGUUAGCCAAUCACUAUGUUCUCCAGUUAGAACUGGAUGGACUGGGGAGGAUGAAAGGGAAGCAAGGAUGCACGUCUCUUCAUGGACAUCCUCAGUGCUUUGCUCAUUCGGCCUUGCCCUCAGAAGACAUUGUUUAACUGCUGCUCUGGACCACACAUCUGAUCCCCACAUCCUGGGGAUGGGAAAAGAGGCAUCCAUAGAAGUUGACUUGUGCACAAGGAGAAAUCUGUCCCGAAGGCCACGAGAGGAGAGUCAAGGAAUCCAGUAAGGAGCAGACAGGAAGGAACUGUGCCACUCCGAUGAGAAUAGAGGAGCCAGAGGCGGUGACUACAUCCCACAGCGCCUUAGUCAGCAGUGUCUUCUGGCAUCUUCUGGGUGUCCUUGAGACUCUCAGACCUCACUCAGCUCUUGCAGAACCAGGCCACAGAGGACCAUUUUGCUAUUCCGUGAGCAUGGCCUUUUGACCAGGUGGCUUCAGAGAAUGAGCCUGUCUGCUCCUCUCCACCCUCUGAUGGGCUCCCCUGGGACAGCGAUGGAGAGCCCCUCCCUCUUUGAGGAAGUCAGUGCUAUGAGGUGCAACAGGACACCUGGGGCCCGGUGACAGUGACUCACUCUGUGCCCUCUGGGUUGCCUGGAUGCAGGCCUCCUGCAAGGAGCCAGUUUCUGCACUGGCCCAGAGCCAAUCCGUGCAGGGAAAGAAGCCCAUCUCCACGUGGGCCACAGUGUUCUUCUGGAUGCUUCCUUUAAUGUGACAGAAGUGAGUCAUUUUUCACCUGACACCUGUGGCUCCUACUGGAUUGUAAGCUCCUUGAGGACCCACUUCUCAUUUCUGACUGAAUCCCGAGGGCGCAUAGAGACCAGAAAGACUGAGCGACAGGAUGUGAGGAGCAAGGCCUGAGCAGGGCCGUCCGCGGAGAAGCAUGCUGUCUCUGGAAAGGACAUCUGAGAACAAACGGCACCAUUUGGGAAGGUAGGAGGAUGGUUCCCCUUGGCCACCCACCCACAAAGGCUCUUCUGGGAGAGAAUGAAGCUCUUGCAUGCAGGUGACACGGGGAUCCCCGAGAUGGAGUAGCAGGGUGCAAGAGUGCCAUCUUUCCAGAAAUGAAAACAGCCUGCUAGCCACUCGGCAUCAUGUCUUCCUGCCCUGGGCCACUGCUGAGCUCCCUCCUUCCCAUUGUGGAUGAGCAUCUACAACACAGACUGGACCUGCAGCUGCGUCUGUGCACAGCUGUGGGGAAUGGAGACAAAGUGGGCGUAGGAGCAAGGGACAGGGCAGCUGUGGCCAGAGUGUGCCCACUAACCAAGGAAUUGUCAUUUUGCGUUUUCGAUACUUACCACAUCUCAUACUCGAGCAAAGCAUGAAGGCGAAGGUGAGUGCGUAUUAUGAAGUUUUCCAGUCUCCCGGCCCUCCCCGUCUCUUUAUUCAUCUGGUUGUCAGGUUUUCAAGAUGACUGUAGUGGGAGGUUGUGAGCUUGAACAACCAGACGUGCAUAUGAUGCUUGGCCCCGGCUAUGCUCACCUUUCCCACGAGAGUCUGCGCCAGUGUCCUCAGUUGGGUUCUGUUAGCUGCAUAGUGCGUCCCCAUGUUGCUUGGGAAAAUGCCCGUAGUGUUUAAAGAGCCAGGCUCCAGCCUUUGGGGAAAGCCUUUUGUUGUGGCAGGAACAAAGAGCAUUGAGGCAUAUUGAUGAGACAUGAAGGAAUGGUCACCACUAACCACACUGCAGUUCCACACAUAUGCUUGGUCCCUUCAAGACUGAGUACAAAGGUAAAAUGCAAACUAGACUUUGAAGAUUUAAUGUUAAAAUGUAAACCAUCUUAUUUAAUACUGUUUUUAAACACUUAUUUCAAGUUAAAUCAUAUUUUAAAUAUACCAGCUAUGUAAAAUAUGCGACAAGCUGGGGACUGGCGAGAUGGCUCAGUGGUUAAGAGCACUGGCAGCUCACAACUGCCUGUGACUCCAGUCCCAAGGGAUCUGACACCUUCACACCAAGGCACGUGAAGUAAAGUUAAGUAAAUUAUUAUUUUUUAAAUGUGACAAAUCAAUUUCACCCAUUUUUUUUCUUACUUUUGUAAUAUGUGGCAUUUAGACCAUUUGAA